UGAGAACACGAGUAGGAGGCCCCUUGAGGAAGUGCAGCAUCAACAGGGCCUGCCUCCAGAUUCCAGGCCUGCAAGGGGACAAUACAGGGCUGUGUUUUCCCGUGGCUCCCAUGGGCUGUUCUGUUGUCCGUGCCCACCCCCAUCUGGGAUUCAGCAGCUGGAGCCAGGCUCUGGUGGACUACAAGUAAACAAGCGCAUCAGGGCGAUGAUUUCAGCUUGGCGCCCAGGCUGCAGAGGAAGGGACGGGCCAGCCCAGCAGCCGGCGGAGGGCUGGGCCUGGCUGGGCCUGGCUGGGCCUGGCUGGGCCGGCGGGCUGUCUGGAGGGAGGGGCGUGCAGGUAAGCAGGCCCCGGAUCAGGAGCUGGCCGUCCAGACAGGGCAGCGGCGAGCAGCGGGUCAUGCCUGGGCCCAGCCAGGGCAGGGCUGAGACAGCCGGGAGCCAGAACACCCUGGGCACGGGUGUGGACCAUGCGCUGUCUUCGGGCCUAGUUCUUUAGCAAUGAGCAGCCCGGGGGCGAGGCGGGCUUCCCCGCUGAAUCGCCUGGGACACGCUGGCCAAGACGUGUGGGCAGCCCACGAUGGGCGGUCUGUCGGGCCACCUCCCCGGCUCCCCCACGCCACACAGGCACUCCUGAGCUGUGCCAGCCAGAGGUGUCCCCUGGCCUCGGCCAAGGUCUCCCCGCAGAAUCGCCCUUGUGAAGGGGCGCGGGGGGGGGGUGGCGGUGGCCUGGCGGUGCUGGUGGUGCAGAGGCAGGGAGUGGGGGAGACGGGAACCCCGAGCCCCCUGUGGAACAGGCCCCGGGACGCCUCCGGGACGCCCUCGGGAGCGGCGGAAGCAUAGCCCUCCUGGGACCCAGGGGCCAGGCCAGACCACAUGACCUGGGCAGGGCACCCAGAAGUGACGUGGGGGUUUUCCUGGGAGCCCCCGGCCAGCUCCGGGCAGGCUGAGACGGUGGAAGGCGGCCUGUGGUGGGACCGGCCGCCGGCAGCGCACGUCACCUCCUCCGAGCCGUCACCAGGAUGGCAGGACAAACCUGACGCGCUCCGGAGAUGGCGUCGGCGUGUGCUGGGGGAGCAACGAGGGGUGCGAGGUGGCUGUGGGGGCCACGCUGCCAGGACCGGCACUGAGGGAGGCAAGGGGCGGCCAGGGACGGGGACAGAGCGGGGGACGCGCAGUGCCUCCUGGCCAGCAGCCUCGUGCGUUGUGGUGACCGACAGCGGGGUAACCUUGACUGACACGCCCACUCCGUCGUGCUCCGAGGCUUCCCAAAAAGGCUAGAAAAUGGACGCUUUCCUGGAACUCCCCACCCUGUGCGGGAACUGCCCAGGGCACCACCCCUCAGGAAUACUCCCUGUUCCUACUCUUGACAGAAAGGACAGCCCAGACCUCGGGCGUGCACUUCCGCCCAGGAUAAAUCUUAGCCCCAACACCUUCCUUCCCCUGUCAGAGAGAAGCGCCCCCGGACCGACCCCGGCCACCGCGCCGCCUCGCCCGGCCCAGCCGCGCCUCAGCCCGGCCCAGGGGCUCCGGCAGCUGCCGGCUGAGGGCGCCCUUGCCCCAGGGCUGCGGGGCCCGCCGGGCACUGCACACGGGCUGGAAGUCAGCCUGCAAGGAUUGUGUGAACACAGCAUGAGUGAGCAGGCCGUCCCAGCGUGGCUGGGAAGCAGCCUCUGGGCCAGUUCCCGUGCCUCUGGGGCCCCGCCGGGGCAGAGAUUCCUGCUGGCUUGUGACAGAGCAGCUUUCUCAGGGCUGGGAAACCAACCCUGACCAGAAAGACCCUCUCUAACAAGCUGGAAAGCGCCUGGAGAGAAACUGGCGCAAAGAGCUGGCCCCAGCAGUCCCAGGAUUUCAAAAACUCAGAGCAAAUGCCUAAACUGGCCCAACAGAGCAGCACCGCAGGCCGUGGCGGCAUGGCUGGAAGGUUCUAGAAGACCUGCAUCAGAGCACAGACGCUGCUUGGAUCAUUAAUGUGUGUCCAUCAUAAGCUGCACUCAGUAGUGAUCCUGUGGCUUGAGACCUCCAGAGCCCAUCGAGGGCCCGCCUGGCUCCCAGGAACUUCACCUAGCCAAGCUGCUAAUGGUUAAGAUAGCGAAAGUGAGAGUGCAGGAAGUGAGCAAAGUCUGCGUGACUGGUCAGCGGCCCCCACAAUGCAGCUCGCUGCAGGCUUCCUGUGAGUCACAAACGUCACCAGCCACAAGUGACCGUGGUGCUGCCAUGUUCUGAACGUCCUUGUCCCCUGAAGUCAGGAGCGGAAAUCCUAACCCCUCGUUGGAGGGAAUCCGCAGGGGCACCUUAGAGAGGUCUUGAAGGUGGAGCCUCAGGAGGGGCCAAGACGCCCAGGCCUGCCUCUGCUCUCCCCUCCCACCGUACAGGCUGAGAGGGAACUGCCCGAGAACCAGGAGUUGGUCCUCCCCUGCCAGAGAGCCUGCCAGGGAGCCUGCCACGGAGCCUGCCACGGAGCCAGCCACGGAGCCUGCCACGGAGCCUGCCACGGAGCCAGCCACGCCUUGAGGUGGGACUCCCAGCCUCCAGGUCUGUGAGCAGUGCCUUCCUGUGCUCCCAAGCUGCCAAUCUCAGGUGCCGUGUGAGAGUGGCCGGGCAGAGUCAGCGCGGAUGGUGGUGAUGGGCGCUUGUCCUUUGUUUUCAUUUCCUGGAUUCCAGUCACAGCGGCUGUGAGGUGACACGUUUUCUCCCGUGACGAGUUGCUCUUCCAUUCUCUUGGCAGUGUCCUUCAAGCACAAAGUUUCACGUUUUGACGCAGUCCACUUCAUGUAGUUUUUUUCUUUUGUCGCUGUGCUUUUGGUGUUAAAUCAAGAAACCAUUGCCUACUCCCAGGACACAAAGAUGUGUUCCUGUACUUUCUUUUGAGAGUUUUGGAGUAAUUUUAGCUGUGUGUAGGCCUUCGGCCCUUUGGACUCAUUCUACGCGGUGUGAAGUAUGCGCCUGUGGCUACCGCGUGCCAGAAACAUUUGGUGAGAAGUUUCCUUUCCUCUGGGUUUUCUUGGCACCAGUGUGGAAACUCAGUGGAGCGUGACUGUUGGGCGGGUUUCCAAGCCCCCCGCUGAGCUGCGUCUGCCCUGGCCUCGGCACCGCCCUGCCUUGAUUACUCCGGUGGGAGAAUCAGGCACCACUAGGUGGUUCCACGAGGAUAACGCCCAUGCAACAACGGAAAGAAGCGCACGCAGCAAACAGAACUGGGGACCAGUGAGUGGUGUGGCGGGGAAGCUGCCACCUGGGAGGCAGCCUCCCACGUCCUAGUUGCUCCACUUCUGAUCCAGCUCCCUGUUAAGACCUGGGAAAGCAGUGGAAGAUGGCCCAAGUGUUUGCGCCCCUGCUGCCCAUGUGGGAGACCUGGAAGAAGCUCCUGGCUUCAGCCUGGCCCAGCCCUGGCCACUGUGGCCAUUUGAGCAGUGAACCAGCAGUAGCAAGAUUUCUGUCUGUCUCUCCUUCUCUCUGUGUAAGUCUGACUUUCAAAUAAAUAAAUAUUUAAAAAAGAAGAAGAAAAGAGAGGGGCCGAUGCUGUGGCGUCGGGGGUGAAGCCGCCACCUGCAGGGACAAAGCUUCCCUCCUGGACCGGCCUCUGCGGCCAAGGCGGCCCUGCAUCCUCCUCAGCGGGGCCACCUCGGCUCCUCCAGGCUCAGGGUGCAUCACCUGUGUUCACCAAGGGCCCGUGGAAGCCCAGCACUACCCGCCCCGCCCCCAUACCUGGUCAGAGCCCUCAUCCUCCUGCCCGGGAGGGGUGGGCAGCCCGGCCUGCCUGCUGUUGCACCUGUGGGUCAGUGUACCGGAAUCCCUCUCCGCCGACCUGGUGGGCAGACCCCGCCCUGCCCCUGCCGGCCUCCCGCAACCGCGUUGCAGGUGUCCCCUCUCCCCUUCCGGCGUUGGUUGCUGGCGUUGUGAGUCACCUGUACUAGUGAACAGUAAUUUUGCACAGGAAUUUCAGGAGCCCGCUGGGAGGGGGUGACUUGGAAAGACCCCACGGCCAGCUGAGGAGAGGGGGCUACAGCCGUCAACGGCAGACAGCUGAGCGCCGCCCUCCAGCUGCCCCCUCCCGGGCCGUCAUCAGAACACAUCUGAACACCUGCUUCGCUCCUCGUGCCUCCUGCCUCCACCCGCAGCUGCCGUAGACCUUGAAAACCCCUUUCCGCCCUGCCGGGUGGGGGAGUGCAUUCCGGCUCCAGACGCGCCUCUUUCCCCAAGACCGCCGCUGCCGGAAGGUCUGGAGAACUGGCUGUCUGGGCAGGGGCAGGGGCAGGGGCCAGGGCCUGGGCCUGGCGAUUUGUCCAGCGUGCACCCUGGGCGUCGGCGGUGUAGUCUGCAGGUGGCCCAAGCCUCCCACGUCAGCAGGGAAGGGCAGCGGCCACGUGUACCCCAGAGCUGCCCGUGGCGAGCUGACCCUGCGGCUGGGACUCCGCAGCUGCCGAGGGCCUUCCCUGGGGUCUCCCUGCUGUGGCAUCAGCUUCCCACCAACGCUUGUUAGGGCGAGGAAGCAGUAUUCGGAGAGGAGCUGCUGGGCUCCAGGACUGGAAUCCUAUUGCUUGUCAACUUCUGCAGAAGCACAAUUCCUAGCGAGCUAAUGCUGGCCUGACGCUGAGGGGACUCACCUGCAGAAGUGCGUUUCUAACAACAGACACCAGGCACGUGUAGCCUCAGGGCCCUUCUGUGUACCUCUUCUGUUGCUUAACUGUGGCCAAAGGAUUCAGACACUGACCCUGGUAGUCAGUCUCCACCCCUCCAACGUGGAACCAGAUAAGACCACAUGACCAGGACCACGUUCAUCCUGCAACAAGAACCAAACAGAGCCUUGCUACCCUGUGACAGAUAGAAGACGGCAAGGGGAGGGGAUGCGAGUUGAGAUGGAAUCCCUGGAGUAUCCCUAAACUAAAAGAUAAAGCUGAGAGGUUAGAAAGCAGGGUUCCUGUGUAUACUUACCGCCUGGUAACCGUCAGAGUAGACUGCCAGGGCCGCAGCCUCAAAGAUGUGCUUGGCGUUCUCACGUCUUAUGCUGGAAUCUGUACAUAGCGCCCACACUGGGGUGGUCAGGCUUGAGAGCUCUUGACUUGCAAGGAUUAGGACUGAGCAUGGACUCAGAUCUUUCUUAAAAUGAAGCAGCACACUCAGUGACUCACAUCUCAAAGAUCUGCAUAUUGUCACCCAAGGCUGGCUGGGUUUGAGAAUGAGUCACGUGAGGCACUGCACGAGGCAGAACUGUGCACCCGUGCCUCCACUUCCGGAACAGGGAGGUUACUGGCUCGUUUAUGGCUGCUUGGGAAACACUUAGCCAUAUCAGCUGAUAAUGUAAACAUCACUGUAACAAUUGCAUUGUCUUUAAAUGGAGCCAACUGGCCUCCAGAUCCUUCUGAGGCGCCUUUGCAAGGUGCAUUGAACAGGGCAUUCUGGCAAGCUGAACCUGCCUGGGGUCCCCUUGGAAGCUCCAGCUCUGGCACUCUUCACAGGUGGAAGCAGUGAGAGGAUUGGGGAAGUUAGAGGUGCGAACAUGCAGUGGUAACCUUUCAGGAAACGUGGGAAACAGCAUUGCCCCAAGUACCUCUCUCCAGACGGAAGUCCUAGCCUCACCCAUGCCUCAUGCCUUGGGAGAGGGAAGAGUGAGCACUCACAGUGACCCUAAGUAUCCUUUGUCUGCAUGGCAUGCCUCUUGGGUUAUGUAGACAAACUUUGCAAACAUCUAGGCUGCUGCAACUGUCUUUGACCUUUGAAGGGGAAACCAAGGAAGAUGCACUUCACCUUGUAAAAAUCUUCCAUCCAAAAAUCCCUCGCUCCGCCCCCAAGCAGCAGGAGGUGUCUAGGAUGGAGCCGACGCCCCUGUUCCGUAGCUGUGGAAGGGAAAAUUGGCAGUGGAGACUGUAGCCGUGAUGAGGCGGCUUCCUGCCCUUCUCACGAGUGGCUGACAGGCGCUGGUUGCUGGAGUUACCUGUGACUCGCAAGUCUUCUUUGUACGGGAAUUUUGGGAUCCUGUUGAAAGCAGGUGACCUGGGAAGGUGGACCUCGCACCCAGCUGAGAAAACAUGCAACCAUCCACUGCACACGACUGAGUCACCAAGCCUGCACCUGGACCAUCGCAGCAAAGCCCGCAAGUCGUCUUAAUAACUGAAUGACUCAUUGCUUUUUAUAACUCCCACCUGCAGCUACUUAAACCCCUUUGCUGGCUUGUUGGGAGGGAAAAGCUCAUUCUGGAUCCGGAAAGCACUCUGCCCAGUACUGCCAGCUUCUUGGAAUAAACCCCCUGCUCUUACCAGCCCGUGUCUCGGGACAAGCGGCUGCCCAGCACGGGCAGCAAGGGCCUGAUUCUCCGUCACAAUUCCCCACAGGCCUUGCACUUGAAGUUGAGCCCAAGCUUUCUCCCACGGGUGUGUCCCUGAACCUGCCGUGGUGGCCCCUUGGAAUAAGUCUGUCUUGGUCAGCUCGGCAGAGUGUUGUUCGGCGUGUGUGUGUUGUAUGUUGUGUGCUAACAGCAUCUUCUGGCUCUGGAACAAGGCCCAGGUUGGGCAGUGCGGGCAGAAGGUCGGGAGGGUGGUCUGAAUGUGAACCCUGCCUGGGUGCUGGGCGUGGAGAGGUGGGGGGAUGGUGCAGGGCCACAGGACAAGCACCUGAACUCCUAGAGGCUGUCGGGCUGCAGCCCCUCACGGUGCGGGGGAGGCCCUGUCUCGUUUGCUGAGGGUCCAGUCUUGGGCCGUGUCUUGAGGGUGGCACAUGGAGAAAGACUCCAUUCACCUUGCGGUUUCUGGUUAAGAAACAGCCUUGUCCACAUGGGUCACACACAGCCCUCCUUUACAAUGGGUCCGCCGUGCUGGGUGAUGCAGUGGCCUCUGGCUCUGUCCUGCAUGGGGUGCCCAUGUGGGAGACGCAUCCGCACGCCCUCGGGGCUUGGGGAUUGCUGGGAGUUGAACAAAACUUCGUGGAAGGCCACUUUGGAGAGUUCAGGGUGAAGGUGACCAUGGCUAUUGGGGUACCUGGGUGGUAAAAGCCAGAUGAAGGGACCCGGAAAAGCCCCAGAGGAGGGGUCUGAGCUGUGACAGGUGCACCAGCUCAGAGGAGCAAGAGUGCCCCAGCAGCUGUCCCUGAGCAUCAGAGCAGUGACAGCUGUCGCUGGGGAUGGGGUCUUCCUGGCGCACCUGGAGAGAGAAGGCCGUCUAUGUUCUGACUUUAGCCAGAGACAGACCACAGGACGCCACGGUCCCAGCUCCUGGCUGCAUCCUGUGCCACACUGGGCAAGCUGUGUCUCCGUGCCCCUCCCACCCACGGGCCCAGUGGGCUGGGCUUCCUGAGGAUUCGGCUGAGGAAGGGAAAUGGCGGACUGAUGGCUCCCGGCUCCUGCUGAGCCAGGGAACCCAGACCCCUGACCCUGAGGUCACCGUUGGUGGCACUUCCCAGCUGAAGUCCCCUCUCACUAAUGGCUCUUGUCUGAGGCAGCCAGACCGCCGGCAGGGUGCCAUUGCAUAGUGUGGCAGGCUGUGUAGAGGGCCACAGCUGUCGAUGACCUCUCACUCGGGGACUGAGUCCUCCCCACCCUGUGAGGGAGGCAGGGCAGCCUGGGACAGGGCUGGCGCCUGCUCUCCUCUAGCUGGGGUGCAGAGAGCCGCGGGGCUGGGGGCGCCUGCUCAUCCCUGUGAACCGGUAUUGCCACAGCCGUGUGAUGGCACGAGGUGCUGGAAGCAGGACAGGAAGGGCCCUCGAGGGCAGACACCAGGGCCUUGUCUCCCUGCUGUGCGUGGGCACUUGGGGCCCUAGGCGCCGGCCCUGAGCUCAUGGGCCAGAGAGCACCGGGACUGACAGGGACCCAGCCCCGAGCAGCGGGGGACUCACUGCUGCACACGUUCCAGACACUGACGAGGAUUCAGUCUUGUCAAUGGGAAACAUUAAAGUUUUAGAAACUG
This is a non-coding RNA of Oryctolagus cuniculus (rabbit), 7895 nucleotides long. NCBI's taxonomy places the organism in Eukaryota, Metazoa, Chordata, Mammalia, Lagomorpha, Leporidae. The record is from RefSeq and is a predicted model, not a curated record.